This 1486-nucleotide ribosomal RNA is filed under the name uncultured prokaryote. RNAcentral's name for it is "partial 16S ribosomal RNA". It matches the Rfam family "Bacterial small subunit ribosomal RNA". The record is from RNAcentral.
AGAGUUUGAUCCUGGCUCAGGAUGAACGCUAGCGACAGGCCUAACACAUGCAAGUCGAGGGGCAGCAUUUCUAGCUUGCUAGAAGAUGGCGACCGGCGCACGGGUGAGUAACGCGUAUGCAACCUACCUUAUACUGGGGGAUAGCCCAGAGAAAUCUGGAUUAAUACCGCAUAACAAUGUUUUAUCGCAUGGUAAGAUAUUAAAACUCCGGUGGUAUAAGAUGGGCAUGCGUAGCAUUAGUUAGUUGGUGAGGUAACGGCUCACCAAGACGAUGAUGCUUAGGGGGUCUGAGAGGAUAGUCCCCCACACUGGUACUGAGACACGGACCAGACUCCUACGGGAGGCAGCAGUGAGGAAUAUUGGUCAAUGGACGCAAGUCUGAACCAGCCAUGUCGCGUGCAGGAUGACGGCCCUAUGGGUUGUAAACUGCUUUUUUUACAGGAAUAAUUGUCUCUACGUGUAGAGAUUUGAAUGUACUGUAUGAAUAAGGAUCGGCUAACUCCGUGCCAGCAGCCGCGGUAAUACGGAGGAUUCGAGCGUUAUCCGGAUUUAUUGGGUUUAAAGGGUCCGUAGGCGGUUCUUUAAGUCAGUGGUGAAAUCCCAGAGCUCAACUCUGGAACUGCCAUUGAAACUGAAGAACUUGAAUAUGGUUGAGGUAGGCGGAAUACGUUAUGUAGCGGUGAAAUGCAUAGAUAUAACGUAGAACACCAAUUGCGAAGGCAGCUUACUAAACCAUUAUUGACGCUGAUGGACGAAAGCGUGGGGAGCGAACAGGAUUAGAUACCCUGGUAGUCCACGCCGUAAACGAUGAUCACUCGAUGUCGGCAAUACAAUGUCGGUGUCUUAGCGAAAGUGUUAAGUGAUCCACCUGGGGAGUACGUUCGCAAGAAUGAAACUCAAAGGAAUUGACGGGGGCCCGCACAAGCGGUGGAGCAUGUGGUUUAAUUCGAUGAUACGCGAGGAACCUUACCUGGGCUUAAAUGCAGAAUGACUUUUCUGGAAACAGAUUUUUCCUUCGACGGUCUGCAAGGUGCUGCAUGGUUGUCGUCAGCUCGUGCUGUGAGGUGUCGGGUUAAGUCCCAUAACGAGCGCAACCCCUAUCUUUAGUUGCUAGCAGGUAAUGCUGAGGACUCUAGAGAGACUGCCGGUGCAAACCGUGAGGAAGGUGGGGAUGACGUCAAGUCAGCACGGCCCUUACGUCCAGGGCUACACACGUGCUACAAUGGCAGAUACAAAGGGCAGCUACUUGGUGACAAGAUGCUAAUCUCUAAAAGUCUGUCUCAGUUCGGAUCGAAGUCUGAAACUCGACUUCGUGAAGCUGGAAUCGCUAGUAAUCGGAUAUCAGCCAUGAUACGGUGAAUACGUUCCCGGGCCUUGUACACACCGCCCGUCAAGCCAUGGAAGUUGGGGGUACCUGAAGUCCGUCACCGAAAGGAGCGGCCUAGGGUAAAACCGAUAACUAGGGCUAAGUCGUAACAAGGUAACC